AACGAACGCUGGCGGCAUGCCUAACACAUGCAAGUCGAACGAGACCUUCGGGUCUAGUGGCGCACGGGUGCGUAACGCGUGGGAAUCUGCCCUCUGGUUCGGAACAACAGUUGGAAACGACUGCUAAUACCGGAUAAUGACUUCGGUCCAAAGAUUUAUCGCCUGAGGAUGAGCCCGCGUCGGAUUAGCUUGUUGGUGAGGUAAAAGCUCACCGAGGCGACGAUCCGUAGCUGGUCUGAGAGGAUGAUCAGCCACACUGGGACUGAGACACGGCCCAGACUCCUACGGGAGGCAGCAGUGGGGAAUAUUGGACAAUGGGCGAAAGCCUGAUCCAGCAAUGCCGCGUGAGUGAUGAAGGCCUUAGGGUUGUAAGGCUCUUUUACCCGGGAUGAUAAUGACAGUACCGGGAGAAUAAGCCCCGGCUAACUCCGUGCCAGCCGCCGCAGUAA
Molecule: ribosomal RNA, 449 nt
Filed under: uncultured bacterium
Lineage: Bacteria
Description: partial 16S ribosomal RNA
Rfam family: Bacterial small subunit ribosomal RNA
Source: RNAcentral